This 301-nucleotide ribosomal RNA is filed under the name uncultured bacterium. RNAcentral's name for it is "partial 16S ribosomal RNA". It matches the Rfam family "Bacterial small subunit ribosomal RNA", at positions 509 to 807 of the family's 1533-position model. The record is from RNAcentral.
CAGCCGCCGCGGUAAUACGAAGGGGGCUAGCGUUGUUCGGAUUUACUGAGCGUAAAGCGCACGUAGGCGGACUUUUAAGUCAGGGGUGAAAUCACGGGGCUCAACCCCGGAACUGCCUUUGAUACUGGAAGUCUUGAGUAUGGUAGAGGUGAGUGGAAUUCCGAGUGUAGAGGUGAAAUUCGUAGAUAUUCGGAGGAACACCAGUGGCGAAGGCGGCUCACUGGACCAUUACUGACGCUGAGGUGCGAAAGCGUGGGGAGCAAACAGGAUUAGAGACCCCAGUAGUCCCUGUCUCUUAUAC